Molecule: ribosomal RNA, 286 nt
Filed under: Heterosigma akashiwo
Lineage: Eukaryota; Raphidophyceae; Chattonellales; Chattonellaceae
Description: partial Bacterial large subunit ribosomal RNA
Rfam family: Bacterial large subunit ribosomal RNA
Source: RNAcentral
AGGGUAGCUCCGCCAGUGAGUGGUAGUACUGGUGUAAGCGUGUAGGCCGACGUGCAGGCAAAUCCGCACGUCAUUCAGGUUGAGACGUGAUGCAUAGCCGAUUGAGGCGAAGUAGAGUGAUCCCAUGCUGCCGAGAAAAGCCUCUAGUGAGUGUUCAUGCGGCCCGUACCCCAAACCGACACAGGUGGUCAGGUAGAGAAUACCAAGGCGCUUGAGAGAACUCGGGUGAAGGAACUAGGCAAAAUGGCACCGUAACUUCGGGAGAAGGUGCACCGCUUUUGGUGAU